Molecule: transfer RNA, 73 nt
Filed under: Pteropus alecto (black flying fox)
Lineage: Eukaryota; Metazoa; Chordata; Mammalia; Chiroptera; Pteropodidae
Rfam family: tRNA
About the family: Transfer RNA (tRNA) molecules are approximately 80 nucleotides in length. Their secondary structure includes four short double-helical elements and three loops (D, anti-codon, and T loops).
Source: Rfam by way of RNAcentral
GGCUCCAUAGUGUAGUGGUUAGCACAUCUGCUUUACAUGCAGAAGAUCCCAGGUUGUGCCUCAGGUGGAGCCA